AAGGCUAUGCUUUCAGGGAUCAUUUCUAUAGUUUGUUACUAGAGAAAUUUCUCUGAUCAUGCAGAGUACCAAGUAGUGGGGAUUACAGGUGCAUACCAC
Molecule: small nucleolar RNA, 99 nt
Organism: Heterocephalus glaber (naked mole-rat)
Lineage: Eukaryota; Metazoa; Chordata; Mammalia; Rodentia; Bathyergidae
Gene: U3
Rfam family: Small nucleolar RNA U3
About the family: Small nucleolar RNAs (snoRNAs) are involved in the processing and modification of rRNA in the nucleolus. There are two main classes of snoRNAs: the box C/D class, and the box H/ACA class.
Source: Ensembl